This 388-nucleotide ribosomal RNA is filed under the name Triglochinura aff. villosa MZSP 72976. RNAcentral describes it as "partial small subunit ribosomal RNA". Lineage: Eukaryota; Metazoa; Arthropoda; Arachnida; Opiliones; Gonyleptidae. The record is from RNAcentral.
UAGAUACCCUAGUAUAAAAGUUAAUAUAGGAUAAUUAUAUGCUGAAAAUUAAUAAGUUUGGUGGUUAAUUUUUGUUUAGAGGAGCUUGUUUAUGUAAUUGAGAAGUUACUCUUUGUAUUUAAGAUAUAUUUAUUGUUUAUUCAUCUCCGUUAUUAAAAUAUUUAUUAGAACUUUAAUAUGGUUAGUUUUCAGGUCAAGAUGUAGCUAAUAUAUAAAUUAUUAAAUUAGCUACAUUUAUAAAAUAAUAAAAUGAAUUUAAAUAUGGAAUAGAUUUAGUAAAAUUGAAUUUAGUUGUAAUAUUACUUAAAAAAGUAGCAUGAAAUUAAUUAAUUAAUAUAUAUAUUGCCCGUCACUUCUAAUAAUGUUUAGAAUAAGUCGUAACAAAGUA